GAGAAUCAUGAGGGUUUAAACAAUUUCAGGACAAGGAUCUCUCAAUGAAUGGAUUGAGCUUUAGGGAGAAUGCUAAAGGUAAGGACCAACAAAUGCAUACAGGAAUAAAACCUUGACUACCCAAUGGUUCCCAAGUGCUUACUCCUAAUCAUCUAAACCCGGAUGAUCCCUAUGUCUACCCUUCAACAUCAAUCCUAUUUUUUUCUUUUUGCCUUAGAAGAAGUUUCUUAUCAAUACUAGUGGAUAGGGGAUUUCUUCUUAACUAUGUUUCUGUUUUCUUCUUACGUUAUAAGACAUCAAAACUUUUUCUCUUUCUUAACAUCCCAGAACCAUUCUCUGUAUAUCAUGCUAACCCCACAAAAAUCAAUCACUAGAUUAUAAACUUCUAGAAAACAUUCUCCUCCUAAGGACACAACUUUUUCUGUUUCUCUUUUUUCUUUCCACAAUCAUUCCAAUCCCAAACCCAAGUAAGAAUCCCGACCUAGUCCUAUCUGAUUUGAAAGUGAAAAUCAGAACUACUCAAGAUUUUAAUCAUGUCGGCUCAUACCUAACACGUUCUCCCCAAGCAUAAUCCGGUAAAAGACCUACCACUCAAAAAUUAUCAAUUGGCUUGAAAGAAAAGGAUAGGCUGCGGGUGUGGCAAACUGAUCAAAAUAAAGAUCAGCUACUUGGAUCAACAAGAGUGGUGAAAGGAGGAAGAUGAUCCAAAUAUGUAUAUAGUGACCAUGAGCAUGCAAGCAAAACACAACCAGAUAUUUGCAAGUCAAGAUUAAGUUCUUAUAGGAUAAGGAAUGAGAUCAUAUCACAACAUGUUUCAACCAAGUUCAAGAAUGCUCUUCAUGAAUUCCAAGUUUGUUUCAGACUUACUUCAAGUUCAAUCAUCAUGCAUCAAAAAGCUAACAAC
Molecule: long non-coding RNA, 904 nt
Filed under: Capsella rubella
Lineage: Eukaryota; Viridiplantae; Streptophyta; Magnoliopsida; Brassicales; Brassicaceae
Description: long non-coding RNA (CRUB_LNC000918)
Source: RNAcentral